Molecule: RNA transcript, 8300 nt
Organism: Myxocyprinus asiaticus (Chinese sucker)
Lineage: Eukaryota; Metazoa; Chordata; Actinopteri; Cypriniformes; Catostomidae
Gene name: KH domain-containing, RNA-binding, signal transduction-associated protein 1-like
Exons: 12
Source: RefSeq, a predicted model, not a curated record
AAAGCUUUUGUUCAGUUGUUUCCAACCGCGCAGCGGAGCCAUUUGUACUCACUAGAACACGCGUAUGUUCGCGUAAAGCCUCGUAUUGCGGGAAGUGGAUGCUGAAAUAGUUUUACCUGCCGGACUCGCGGUGUUCGAUUGCGAUCUGUUUAAUAACUUAUUUACAAACUCAACAUGGAGGACGAGAGCAAAUAUCUCCCGCAGCUGCUGGCGGAGCGAGACAGUCUGGACUCGUCGUUCACACACGCCAUGAAACUUAUUUCAGCAGAAAUCGAGAAGGUUCAGAAAGGCGAAACGGGGGAGAAAGAAACCGAAAGCUACCUUGACCUCUUCACAACAACAAACAUCAAACUGAAGGAAAGGGUUCUUAUACCAGUCAAACAGUACCCGAAGUUUAACUUUGUUGGAAAGAUCCUUGGACCGCAGGGGAACACUAUCAAGAGACUGCAGGAGGAGACGGGUGCCAAGAUUUCGGUACUUGGGAAGGGAUCCAUGAGGGACAAAACCAAGGAGGAAGGCUUGAGAAAAGGUGGAGAGCCAAAGUAUUCACAUUUGUCCAUGGAGCUUCAUGUGUUUAUUGAGGUUUUUGCUCCUGUUCCUGAGGCAUACCUGCGUAUGGCACACGCUAUGGAAGAGAUCAAAAAGUUCUUGUUUCCGGACAUGAUGGAUGAUAUUUGCCAGGAGCAGUUCAUGGAGAUGAAGUAUCUAAACGGGGGUCAGGAACAUGCGGGCAGAGGCAGAGGAGGUCCACCCGUCAGAGGCCGUGGAGCCCACCCGGCUUCAGGGGCACCCAGGGGCCGUGGUAUGCCCCCGCGUGGAGGUGCUCGUGGUGGCCCACCUCGAGGCGGAGCUGUUAGAGGAGCUCCCGCAGGGAGAGGCGGACCACCAGCCCAGACGGCCAGAGGAGCGGCUGCUACCCGUGCCCGUCCAACUGCCUCUGCUCCACCGAGGAUGCCCCCUCCACCAACUUCUCACCCUCCAGCCCAAGAAGCAUAUGAAGAAUAUUCGUAUGAUGAGAGCUACACAGAGGCAGCCUAUGAACCCUACAACAGCUACUACAGUCAGCCGCAGGCAGAACCAGAAUACUAUGACUAUGGACAUGGAGAGACACAGGAGGGUUACGAAAACUACGCUCAAGAUGACUGGAAUGGAACACAGCAUGCUGCUGGUGGUGGGAAAGCUCCCACUCAGAGACCGACUAAGCCUGGAUACAGGGAACAACACCCCUAUGGGCGAUACUAAGUCUGACUAGCAGAACGCCACCCAACACGUCGCCAUGUCAACUGUCACCCUUGGCAGCACACGCUUUAAGCUACCCGACAAAAGACCCUAGAGGUAAGACCUGUGCUCUUUAAAAUAACCUGGAUAGCUUCCUAAUGUCUAUAGAGAGAGCUAAAGCAUUCGAUGCUUGGGUAUGUAUUAAACUUUUCUUGAAUGACAUUUUAUUUUUGGUCUUACUCAGAAUGGGAAAUGUAUUGACCAGCCUGAAAUAACUUGAAUUUAAAAGUUAAGCUUGCAGGGGCCUUAUCUGUCAAGUCUGAUGCAAAGACAUGUUGGCUGCUUUUAGUAAAGAGGACAGGAGAGGACUGUUAAACUUAAGUGCAGCAUUGUAAAGGUAAUGGCGCCUGGCAAUUCCCGGAAAUGGAAUCAGUUUUGACAAGAAUGUGAGACCUCUGCUCAGGAAAAGACAAGUGUUUGUUCAAAGCAUAUCUUUGAACAUCAGCAGUCUUUAUGGAACCAUGGACAACGGCAGUUCUCAUAAACCCAGAGGUCUGAAGGCAAUCGUCUGAGAAGGACGGAGUGGAUAUGUGUGCAAAAGGAAAUCGAUGUUCCAGUUGGCACCAGCCUGAUAUGCGCAAGGUGCCCCACUUGCGUAUAUCAGCCUGCUGAUGGGCAGUCUCUUGUUGGAUAGAAUAAGUCUUUGUGCUAAUGUAUUCUGUAUGUAUCACCAGUCAUAUUGGAUGAGGUUAAAGGUCAUUUCUCUGUUCCAGAAUGUUUCUGGCACUCUUUAGUGUUCACCUUAUCAAGGUCUUUGAGCAUACGUAACAUGACAUUUUCAUCUUUUAAAUUGACCUCUUCUGCUUUUGUUGGCCAAGAAAUUUUAACGAGCUCUGAAAAUUCUGUCCAUACUCUCCAGAUGUCCACCUCUGAUAAUACUCAAGUGCUUAUUCUGAAAGACAAGCAUGACAUCCCGUCACACUCCGUUCCUCGCUCUGAGGAAUGUACAUGCUGAUUUGCCCCUAUCUUUUUGCUUUUAACGAGUCAGGCGAAAAUUAUCAUGGCAAUUAGAGGAGAUAUUGGUUUGAAUUGGCUUAUGCUACUGCAGCUGUCUUGGAGUUUGUAUGAUUCACAAUUGAAUCUCCACUUGUCUGUUUGCAGAACUAUUUUUGUUGGUCAACCAAAAAUUUGAUUCUAAAUUGUAAUUUCUCUUCAUCUUGUUUAUAAAAUACUUUUGCUUAUGAUAUUGUUUAAUUAGCACUUCUGCCUUAUGGAUAAAGGUCUUUCUUCCCCCUAAAUGAAUUUCCCAGGAACUGCUUUGUUUUUAAUCUUUGCUAUGCAGUUUGACUUUGGCACCAAAUACAUUUGUGCAUAUGCACGUGUCGCCGUCAGUGUAUCUGAGCUUUUUUCGUUUCUAGAUCUUUUGCUCAUUUUCCCCCCAGCACAAGUUGGAUUUAGGCUUGUCAUUCUGACCAAUUACUGCAGAUGACAGCUUGUUCGUACCCCCACGGAGCCACCACUGGUUGCUGACUGGCUAACAGGACUCUGCCUUAUUGCAUUAGACACACAUCAGUCCUCGGCACAGAUUUUAAUAGCAUCAUGCACCGCUCAAGUGACAUCAAACAAUUGGGUAGAAGGUUUACCGAUGUGUAUACGGGCCUCAACAUAAAGAGAAAUCGCAAAAGCAGAUAAUGGAAAUAAUUAAUUUAUUUCCCAGACAGAUGCUGGGAGGCAAAAAGAUUAGAGAACAAUCUGGAAGAACAUUUUGAAGCCAACCCUGCAGUUAAUGGGUCUCUGUUUACAUGGUUAUAGGUAUGUGUGUGUUGGACAUUCAUGACCUACAGCUGCAGGGGAAAUGCCUCUAUAGUAGCAUAAAAGGCAUGUGUGACAGUCUGAAACAGUUGUGGUUUGGCAGCUCCUAACUGCCAAAACUCAUUCUGUAUGCCGAAGACAGGAAGCAUGGUUACGUAAAUACAAAUUAAUUGCUUGCACGCCUGCCUGGUCUGUCUGUUUCUUGCAUGGCUAUUUUGUUUCGCACCUAACCGGUGUAUUCACUCUAGGGAGUCGGAGAAUUGAGUGCAUGGGGAGUGGCUCUAACGGUUCUAUGGCGGUUUCUGGCUCAAGUCCUGGAGAACCAUGGCUGCCGGCCACCUUUUUCAGUUUGAAAAUGCUGGUAAUAACCAAACCUCCUAAAGGGCUCUCCCUCAAUGUGGUGUGAUGGGACUGAAUUGAAUCUGUUCAUGUGGAAUCUGGCUUGAGUAAUCUGAAGCCUUCCAGGACAAGAUUUGGACACCUCCACCUUGGCUGUUGCUGUAGUAACAUUUCCUUUUGCAUGUUUUCCAAAAUCCACAUAACCAAAUGUACCCAACACAAUGUGGGGAAAUCAUGGCAAUUGCUUGGUAUUAGCAAUGGAAUACAAGUGCCAAGAUUCUAUUCUUUUUUUGUUUUCUUAAAGAGAUUGAUGGGCUUGGAGUUGCCAUGUAGUUAAACGAGUGCAUGAAGUGUCUGUCAUUCAACACAGCAGUUGGCCUUUAUUUCAAUAGUAGCAAACCAAGUCUUUGGGGGAAAAAAACAGAUUGGUGACAUUGGGGAGUGGACAGAAUUACAGUUAAUUUGAAAGUCAUUCAAACUAGUUUGUCAUCUCUGGAUGUAAGUGCAUCUAAAAGCACAUUUGACCAAGUUCACACCCAGCCUGCAAAUGAAGAUCUGCCUCAGGGGGAAAUGCCUGAUGACAAUGUUUUUACAAGUAAAUUGUUUGACCUCACACACAUUGUCAAAAAUAAAGAAAUUAAAUGUAAACAGUGACUUCUAUGUGUCUUUCUCGUUUUGAAAGACUUGUCUUAUUGUCACAUUUUAGUCACUCACAUUGGGAAUAAUGCAAGUGCAUUGUUUUUAAAGAAAUAUCCUGUAUAAAUACUUGCAAAUUCUGGACAUGCACUAGUGUAUUAGCCAAAUAUAGGUAUUUAUUGAAAAGCAAUUUAUCUGCACUGUCGGACAUUGACCUACUCUUUAAAAAAAAUAAAAAAUAAAAAUAAACUCGUGCAGUGUGUUAAACAAUUGAGUUUGUAGUUGCAGUAUGUAAGUUGCACUUCUAAUUCACGAGGUGAAGCUACUAAACUAACUUGAUUACCUUAAAGCUAGACACAAGGAAUACAUUUGUUGAAGUUAAAGUGGAGGCUGCUUCAACUAAAGGGACAGGCGUUGUCAUUCAGAAAUCAGUUGAAGUGAGAACAUUUUUAGAAGUCUUACCAAUUUAAUGUGAGCCUACAAGAAGCUACUACGAGUCAAUGUAAGGUAAAAUGUUAAUGUAAUUCUUUCAUUUAUAACCAGUGUAAGGCCAGUUACUCGAACAUGGAAGACAUGUAGAGACCGAGAAUAAAGUUAAUUUGUAUUUUUUUUUUUUAUCCGAGGUUGUGUAAUUAUCAGUGAUUUGGAACAAUGCAGAAUAAAAAAAUCAGAACCGCAAACUAUCGUUAUUGGUAGAUGUUGCUCUAAAAUAAUCGGAUAUCUACAUUGCCAUUUUUAAUCUGUGGAUCUCAAAUACUAAUACAAGUUUAGCUCUUUUGACCGCAUGUGUCACAUGCUGUCAAUUACCACAGCAAAUACUUUGAAUCAUUCUGCAGUAUGUAAAAACUAACAAAUGCGUUGACUGAAAUGCACUUACAAUGUAGGUCUAUCGGGCAACCAUACAACGGUUGCCCCAUUGACUUCCAUUUUAAGUGCAGGCAACAUUCGCACAAAGUCAAAUCCCUCAAGUACUGAUUCUGCUGUUAGAAUGUUCAGAAACCAUUAUGGUAAAUAAGACAUUGGCAUCAUGCAGCCCUCAUGAAUAAUUAACGAAUCCCAUUUAGACUUGAAUACUUUGUGCACAGUGAAGAAGCAUUUUCGUGGUUUGUGCACUUUGAAAACUAUGUUUAGAUCAAAUGUCGAUGUAAGUGGGCCUGUUGAGCGAUUAUGGUGUUUUAAUGGAAUGUGUGAUUAAUGUGGGCAUGCUCAAAUAUCUUGUGAGAAUCAGUGAGACUUGCAGGUCACACAGAUUGAAGGAAACUGGGCUCCAGUCUGCUGUAUUCAACUAGCAUAAAGUUCUACAGGAAGUACCAGGUCUGCUUGGUGAUGAACACACAGUCUUGCAAAAGAACCUUUAUGGUGCUUCGUCUCCAGCAAGUGUAUUUAUAGACGAGUAAUUGAUUCAUCCUUGUGUUUUCAGAAAAUAGUUUGGCGAAGUUAAAGGACUUAAAAGGAGACCGUUCUCACGUUGACCUGCAACCCACGCCGACAGCACAAAUUCACCAAUGCCUGCUCUUAAACUUUCUCUUUGCUGGUCUGCUGCCAAUAUUGAUGCGAGACAAAUGGCGGCACAUCCUCGGGAGUGUUUGGAAAUGAGUUGAAGAUGUAGAAGUUGAAGUAGUUUUUGGUUUUCUAACGCUUCUGUUUUUAACUCAUGCUGCCUCCUCAAGCUAAACUUUAUCACCUUUUAAAGAUUGUUCCUUGUUGGGUAUGUAGUUUAAACUCGGUGGUUCGCCACAGGUCAGCGGUGCAGUCCACGCUAACAUGUCCGCACAUAUGCAAUGCUUUUCUCUUCAUCCCUGUUCACAUGGAAACCCUGGGCCUCAUUAGCUUGCGCACUUCACUUGAGGGCCCCUGUCUGCGCUUCCACGGGAGUGAAUCCCUCUGAAGCAAUUUAGGGCUCGAUAUAAAUCAAUUUUUAUGUUAAAUGGUUGCUUUGAAAUGAGGUGUGGGGGUAGGGGGGGAAGUGUGUGCUUUACUGAGCUGUAGGCUCCCACACAUCCCUUGUGCUGUAGUCACAACGCUAGCCACCUCAGGCUGUCUCUGCCUCUCUCUCUCUUCUCUGCUCGCUCUCUACAGGUCUUCGUAAUUCAGCUUGCCUGCUCCGUUUAUCCUGCCAACCAGCAAUUUUCUUUCUCUAUCUGGUCUCAUGUUUGACCCUCUCUGGUUGCUAUGCGUUUGCAGGCCUUGCCUUCGGCUCAACUCUAAUUUUAGUAAGACUGAAGCAAGUCUAGAAAGCGUAGUGUAAGGGGGUCUUUCUGCAAGACUCUGACUUCCAACCUAAUUACCCAUCAAGUUACCUCAGUAUCUGUCUCCCCGCAGCAAACUCAACCAGCAGACACAGCAGUGACUUAGUCACCUCUCAAUAGAGCUUUUAACUGAGCAUGAGGGGCAGAAUCCAGUGCAAUGGCCAUUUAUUAUUGGUUUGUGAAUUGAAAGUACAUCUUAAGUAAAUUAGAGGUAUGAUGGAUUAUUUUAUUGCCUGCACUUCAGAAAGGCAAAGGUAGACUAAUAAAAAGGGAGGUUGAGAGUAAAUUGAGGACUUUUUCUUUGAAGCAUUUUUAAGAGUGUGUCUUAAUAUCAUUCUAUGUAGGUAGUUGGCUGUCGUACGGGACAUUCACACUGAUGAUUAGCAGUGACUAAAUGAACAAAACAGUGAGAGUUGGUGAUUUGAGGUGACUGCGACCGUUGGUGAUGUGACAGUUCCAUGUCCCAAAUUCUGAAGUCCCAAUGGCGACAUCUAAUGGAAGUGAAGACUGUAUGGUUAACGUGAUCCACCUCAUACAGUUGCCUACUAGCAACCAAUUGUAUAGCGAUUUGGCCUCAAGCGAUGUAUUUGCUAUCAGUGUGAACAAGGGGUGUAACUGUUCUCAGUAAGCAGGUGAAAUCUAGUCAUCCGUGCUAUCAGGAAUGUCGCCUGAUAGACUUUUGGUGGCAAAGAAAUUUCCCUAUGCAAAUUUUGCAUGUGGAUAAAGUUUGGUGAAUAUUGAUGCAAAUUUGCAUCAUUGGGUUUACAGAGACCUCUGUGUGCGCAGUGCUUUGUACAAAGCUACACUCGAAGUGGAAAAAUCUUCGAUGAAAAUUUUUCCAUCUGGGGGGGUUUUUUCUGUCAGCCGGGGUGUGGGGGGGGCCCAUGAGCAUUUCUUCUGGGUGACAGCACUGCCAUCACAGAAGAGCUGCCGGUACACAAGAGUUGCUGGUGGUACUGUCAUUUUUGUUGUUUCAGGUACUGCAUACUGGCUCAGUUCGAGCACUGGCUACACUAAAUAGUGAGAAUGUACAAGGAACUCAUUUAAGUGGUGAAUUUCUUUAUAACUACGGUCUUCCAGAGUAUAAAGUGCAGUAUAAAAAAAAAAAAAGAGGCUGCUUGGCAAGUAGUUUUUGCGGGUUUUAUACUCAAUUUUUGGCUUUGGAAUUUUGCAGUGCAAGGGUGAAUGACUAAGCCUUUAGUCUUGAUAAUAUUGUAACAACUGUAUUAGUGGUUGGCCUCUGUGGAUAUCUACAUCAUAUAAUACAAUAUGUUAAAAUAAAUGCUUGCUUAAUUUAAUUUAUGCAGUAUCUAUGCAAAAUUAAAUAAAAAUAAGUUGGCCUUCCUUGUCUAUUUAAAAUGUUGGUAGAUGGAUUUACCUAACUGUCAAUAGAUUUAGGACACAUUCUAUUAUUUGGUCAAACAAGCAAAUUUAUCAGCCAAUCCCUAUUAUCUUAAAUAGCUAAAUAUGCCUGUUUGGUAUGUCGGUCUAUAAUUUAACUGUACAUCUUAACAACUCCCAAACCACACAUUUCAUUAAGCCAUAUUAAUUUGUCCCCAGGUAGCUUACUGACAUUGUAGAUUAGUCUUAUUUCUUUCUUUCCUGAGGAGUGCCAUGGUACUAUUUCUGUACUGUAAUAGGCUCGUGAAUAAAUUAUUUAUCAGGCACAUUAAUCUGGAUAGGAAGAUACUGGUUAAAUGGUUUGUGGCUAAUGGCUUAGAAUUUUGAACUGUUGAGCUGCCAAUUUUAGUAAUUUGCAUUUACAAGGAGCUGAUCCCAAGAUGUAUUUCUGAGGUGCUUAUUAGUGGUGCUUUCUGGCAAGCAUCGCUGUUACAACUGUGCAUACAGUACUUCCCCUAAGCAAACCCAUAACCUCAACUAUUAAACUUCUGAGAGUAACUCAUUCUGUACAUCCUGACAUGAAUGAUACCUCGAAUCAUGUGGUGUUGCUUAGAGGUGUGCUAUUACUUCUCUAAAUGAUAAAAUGUAAGAUUUUUGCCUGCAAGAUGAUAUGAUAAAAAAUUAAAAUAAAAAAUCCCCUUUUCA